CUUAAAGUGGUUUUGGCAAGAAAAUGAAGUGGCUGUGAUGCUGUUUGCAAUUGGAGCUUUACUCACACUCCCCCAUUGUGUCCCAGAGUAGUGCAAUCCUGUUCCUCUGUUUUUUUUUUUUCCAAGUCUUUCUAUUUACAUCUUGAUGUUUCAAUGUAGUUGCAAAGAUUUUACAACAUUAGAUGCUCGCCUUGUUGAGACUCGAUGGAUACAAUAAGACAAGUAUUCAUAUGGUUGGAAUUUUGUUGGUAUGCGUGCAAUUUUGUUGGUAUGCUGUUUGCAAUUUUGUUGAUGUUUCAAUGUAUUCAUAUGCUAUUGACAGCCUGGUUUGAGCUUGUUUUCUGUUGAUAUGCGUG
This 356-nucleotide unclassified non-coding RNA is filed under the name Hevea brasiliensis (rubber tree). Lineage: Eukaryota; Viridiplantae; Streptophyta; Magnoliopsida; Malpighiales; Euphorbiaceae. The record is from RNAcentral.